UGUGAGCUCGAUGAGUAGGGCGGGACACGUGGUAUCCUGUCUGAAUAUGGGGGGACCAUCCUCCAAGGCUAAAUACUCCUGACUGACCGAUAGUGAACCAGUACCGUGAGGGAAAGGCGAAAAGAACCCCGGCGAGGGGAGUGAAAAAGAACCUGAAACCGUGUACGUACAAGCAGUGGGAGCACGCUUAGGCGUGUGACUGCGUACCUUUUGUAUAAUGGGUCAGCGACUUAUAUUCUGUAGCAAGGUUAACCGAAUAGGGGAGCCGAAGGGAAACCGAGUCUUAACUGGGCGUUAAGUUGCAGGGUAUAGACCCGAAACCCGGUGAUCUAGCCAUGGGCAGGUUGAAGGUUGGGUAACACUAACUGGAGGACCGAACCGACUAAUGUUGAAAAAUUAGCGGAUGACUUGUGGCUGGGGGUGAAAGGCCAAUCAAACCGGGAGAUAGCUGGUUCUCCCCGAAAGCUAUUUAGGUAGCGCCUCGUGAAUUCAUCUCCGGGGGUAGAGCACUGUUUCGGCAAGGGGGUCAUCCCGACUUACCAACCCGAUGCAAACUGCGAAUACCGGAGAAUGUUAUCACGGGAGACACACGGCGGGUGCUAACGUCCGUCGUGAAGAGGGAAACAACCCAGACCGCCAGCUAAGGUCCCAAAGUCAUGGUUAAGUGGGAAACGAUGUGGGAAGGCCCAGACAGCCAGGAUGUUGGCUUAGAAGCAGCCAUCAUUUAAAGAAAGCGUAAUAGCUCACUGGUCGAGUCGGCCUGCGCGGAAGAUGUAACGGGGCUAAACCAUGCACCGAAGCUGCGGCAGCGACGCUUAUGCGUUGUUGGGUAGGGGAGCGUUCUGUAAGCCUGCGAAGGUGUGCUGUGAGGCAUGCUGGAGGUAUCAGAAGUGCGAAUGCUGACAUAAGUAACGAUAAAGCGGGUGAAAAGCCCGCUCGCCGGAAGACCAAGGGUUCCUGUCCAACGUUAAUCGGGGCAGGGUGAGUCGACCCCUAAGGCGAGGCCGAAAGGCGUAGUCGAUGGGAAACAGGUUAAUAUUCCUGUACUUGGUGUUACUGCGAAGGGGGGACGGAGAAGGCUAUGUUGGCCGGGCGACGGUUGUCCCGGUUUAAGCGUGUAGGCUGGUUUUCCAGGCAAAUCCGGAAAAUCAAGGCUGAGGCGUGAUGACGAGGCACUACGGUGCUGAAGCAACAAAUGCCCUGCUUCCAGGAAAAGCCUCUAAGCAUCAGGUAACAUCAAAUCGUACCCCAAACCGACACAGGUGGUCAGGUAGAGAAUACCAAGGCGCUUGAGAGAACUCGGGUGAAGGAACUAGGCAAAAUGGUGCCGUAACUUCGGGAGAAGGCACGCUGAUAUGUAGGUGAAGUCCCUCGCGGAUGGAGCUGAAAUCAGUCGAAGAUACCAGCUGGCUGCAACUGUUUAUUAAAAACACAGCACUGUGCAAACACGAAAGUGGACGUAUACGGUGUGACGCCUGCCCGGUGCCGGAAGGUUAAUUGAUGGGGUCAGCGCAAGCGAAGCUCUUGAUCGAAGCCCCGGUAAACGGCGGCCGUAACUAUAACGGUCCUAAGGUAGCGAAAUUCCUUGUCGGGUAAGUUCCGACCUGCACGAAUGGCGUAAUGAUGGCCAGGCUGUCUCCACCCGAGACUCAGUGAAAUUGAACUCGCUGUGAAGAUGCAGUGUACCCGCGGCAAGACGGAAAGACCCCGUGAACCUUUACUAUAGCUUGACACUGAACAUUGAGCCUUGAUGUGUAGGAUAGGUGGGAGGCUUUGAAGUGUGGACGCCAGUCUGCAUGGAGCCGACCUUGAAAUACCACCCUUUAAUGUUUGAUGUUCUAACGUUGACCCGUAAUCCGGGUUGCGGACAGUGUCUGGUGGGUAGUUUGACUGGGGCGGUCUCCUCCUAAAGAGUAACGGAGGAGCACGAAGGUUGGCUAAUCCUGGUCGGACAUCAGGAGGUUAGUGCAAUGGCAUAAGCCAGCUUGACUGCGAGCGUGACGGCGCGAGCAGGUGCGAAAGCAGGUCAUAGUGAUCCGGUGGUUCUGAAUGGAAGGGCCAUCGCUCAACGGAUAAAAGGUACUCCGGGGAUAACAGGCUGAUACCGCCCAAGAGUUCAUAUCGACGGCGGUGUUUGGCACCUCGAUGUCGGCUCAUCACAUCCUGGGGCUGAAGUAGGUCCCAAGGGUAUGGCUGUUCGCCAUUUAAAGUGGUACGCGAGCUGGGUUUAGAACGUCGUGAGACAGUUCGGUCCCUAUCUGCCGUGGGCGCUGGAGAACUGAGGGGGGCUGCUCCUAGUACGAGAGGACCGGAGUGGACGCAUCACUGGUGUUCGGGUUGUCAUGCCAAUGGCACUGCCCGGUAGCUAAAUGCGGAAGAGAUAAGUGCUGAAAGCAUCUAAGCACGAAACUUGCCCCGAGAUGAGUUCUCCCUGACUCCUUGA
RNAcentral lists this ribosomal RNA (2443 nucleotides) under Escherichia coli. Its description in RNAcentral is "bacterial LSU rRNA". It matches the Rfam family "Bacterial large subunit ribosomal RNA", at positions 398 to 2826 of the family's 2925-position model. The record is from RNAcentral. Lineage: Bacteria; Pseudomonadati; Pseudomonadota; Gammaproteobacteria; Enterobacterales; Enterobacteriaceae.